CAAUAGUGUCAUAUCCAAAGAGACCAAUCAGUGGUGGACUCCCUAUCAAGGAUGGAGAUCUUUCAAUAAUCGAUAAAUUUCCGAGAACUUCAAUCCCGUGUGAGUAAAGCUUUUUUCCAAUUGUGUUUUCAUCUAACAGCCCAGUAGCAAAACAUGUUCUAUGCGCUGAAGAAUACUACAUAAUACUCCUCUGCUAUAUUAUUUUCAUGAAGCUUGCUUCAACUUCCAACUACCCUUCUAGUUCUCUACCCUCUUAGAAGCUGUCCGUCAUAAUAUCUCAGUCUUGAGUCUCGUCGUAACACUACGACCACAACACACUCUGUUCUUAUCAGGCAAACACCACGAGAAGACCCUCUGGGUCUAUGGUGGCCUCUAGAAAACAUCACAUCAACUCUCUUUGGUCCAUUCUGUCACAUGGCUUCAACAUCAACCUGGACAAGACAGCUCUGAUCACACCAUCACAGACUGUGCUUUUUCUCUAGGGUCUCACAGGUUCGGCUGUCAUGCUGCUCAAGGCUCGUCUUUCCUGUGAUGUUUCCAGAUCCUGAUCCUCCUUGAGCGUCGACUACUGUAUUGUCCUGCUUCGCCCGUUUCUUGCACCAGCACCCGCUACAGACCACUGUAUGGUUUGGACCUUUGCUCGGCUCCAUCGCGCUGCCCGUGCCUUUUAGUUGAGAACACCAUAUGGUGAGGCGCAUUAACCAAUGCGCAGGCGCGUUGUGCUACGCUAGAAAGUUUCAUAUGGGACAGAUCGAACGACCUCAACAUCUCAGCUAGCAACUGUAAAAGUAUUUAUUAAUUACAACAAUUAUCGCAUUAAACCUUAUCCUUUAUUUUGGAGGACAUCAUUAUCUACUAAAGUUAGAGUUUCUGUAUGAAUCACUC
Molecule: small RNA, 885 nt
Filed under: Histoplasma ohiense
Lineage: Eukaryota; Fungi; Ascomycota; Eurotiomycetes; Onygenales; Ajellomycetaceae
Description: hypothetical lncRNA
Source: RNAcentral